UGCCAAGUGCUCUGAGCAGCAGCAGCUGCUCAUGCCUGAGUUGAAGGCCAGAUUCUUGAUUCGCUGAUUCUUUGAACCGCUAGGUGCCUCCCAGGCAGAGUGGAGCUUCGUCUUCCUCGUCUGCCUCCAUACUCCAGCACACGCUUCACCUGACAGACCUUCGAUCUUCAGAAGAGGAACAAGGCCGAUGGAGCCGCCUUGUUCCUCAUCUCAGUUCCCCGCACGGGUGGUUCGCUCCGCUCGUCGUCGCCCCUCGACAACCUCCGCGGGCUCCGCCCAGCAACAACCGGUCGCGCAUUCCAUCACCACCAGUGCGUGUGUGAUGUCUACCGCCUAAUUCUUUCUUGAUGGAGGAUUGCUGAUCUUCAGAGAUGCAAUAUAACAUUCAUGGGGAGCAGUCGACUUUGCAUUUAUAUUUGACAUCAAGUUUCAUGGGUCCAAAUACGCCUUCGGCACCUGGAAGCUGGAAGGCAUGAGCUACGAAGAACAUAUUAAAGGUUUGUAUGGCCUCUGGCAGAUACGGUCCAAAAUGACAACGAAAGCCAUG
Molecule: long non-coding RNA, 547 nt
Organism: Panicum virgatum (switchgrass)
Lineage: Eukaryota; Viridiplantae; Streptophyta; Magnoliopsida; Poales; Poaceae
Exons: 3
Source: RefSeq, a predicted model, not a curated record